Molecule: long non-coding RNA, 1699 nt
Filed under: Setaria italica (foxtail millet)
Lineage: Eukaryota; Viridiplantae; Streptophyta; Magnoliopsida; Poales; Poaceae
Description: long non-coding RNA (SITA_LNC002698)
Source: RNAcentral
GAAACCCCAGGCCGAUCGGCCUGAGAGGAUCCAGGUCGAUCAGCCUGGGCCUUCCUCUUGCCCUCUCACGUCCUGCUCGUCUCCAAGUCUACUCAGGUGCUUUGGAAUCUUCUUUUCACUUACAUGUGGGCCUAGCACGUCGGUAGCUUCAGGAUGAGAUUGAUCUUUAAUGACUUUCCAAAUCUCCACUUGAUCUUCUCCGAUUCCUCUUUGAUCCCAAGCUAGUCAUUACCAUAUUUCCUAGGUAAUGUUGGAAAGUUGCUUGUCAAAAAUAGGCACCAGUGGGCGCCAAAGGGUACCAGGCCGAUCGGCCUAGCCCUUUGAUUUUCGUCUUCGUCUAGUUCGAUGCUCGUUCAGUGCUUUAUCCAAAAAUAUACUUUUAGGCUCAAUUUUCUGAAAAAACACAACAUCCCCCAAAAUACGUUGCAUACGUGAAAAUGAUCAGUUUAUUAGGUGUGAUCGAUAGUUUAGAUAUUAAAUUUAUAUCAUUAUUGAAGAUAAAUAGGGAUAAAAGUGUGUCAAUAACGAGCGUUAAUAGAUUGCUCGGCGUCGAGGAAGCCAGCUGACAUGCUGCCUGCGCAUGACGUUCGGUGCGGUGGCUUUGACAGAGAGGGAAGGACCUAGCUGCUUAUCAUGUUAACGCUGGCUAACGCACUAGCGGCGUGGCAGGUGGCGGCGGUCGCUGCAGCUGUAGCAGCCUAUGCUGUCUGCAACCGCGCGUCCAUUGAGAUUUGAGAAGUCACACCUGGUGAACCUUCAGUUCCAGAAGAAUGUGCAGUUGCACGUGCUUUCUUCAGUAGAUAUGCUAUUCCCUUUGGCUUGUUUGAUUAGCUGGAUUCGAGAUACACUACAAACCUGGCGCGGCUUUGCCGCACCCUUUGUUGGGUUUAGCCAAACUAUCCAUAUGUUGAGAUAAAACUUACAGAGCAGUGCUUGGAAAGGGUUGUGCUGAGCAGACAGAACCAUGUAUCUAUUUGACGCAGAAAUAAAAAAGUAUUAACAAUCCAACGUUUAAGUGCUACUUGAGGAAUGGUGUUAUGUACAAUCUUAAAAUAUAGGCCAGGUCUUACUAACAUGCCACAACAAUAAUACUAUUUUUCAUCUAGCAUCUAUAGCUGUUUGAAUACAGAUAAUAUUGGGACCACAGAUUUGGGAACAGAAGCAACAACGUUUUACAAAACCUUGAUUAGCUCGUCAAAUGAACCGGUAUUUGACCCCUGAUUUGCAAGGACACGGGUUUUUGAGAUGCUUCGUUGUUGGGAUUUUCAGAUCGAGACAUGCUCAAGGGAAUUAACUUUUUUCUUGCCCUGGCAGAUUGAAUCGAUAAUGUUUGGAGCAGCAUGCCCUCAAGAUGCCAUGGACAGUGUUUGUGGCGAGCUGCAAGUUCAUAAUGUAGCAGGUGAGCCUAAAUUGCCCCUCACCCUUUGCGAUGACUUUAUACAAAUUAUACGGAAUUAUUGGUGGGGUGCAGAGAAUGAUCGAAGGAAGACACAUUGGUGCUUUUGGGAGACAAUGCUACAACCAAAGAGUAAUGGUGGAUUGGGCUUUCGAGACUUGCGUCUUUUUAACCAGGCUUUGCUUGCUCGACAGGGAUGGAGGCUGUUAUUAUACCCGGAUAGUUUGUGUUCAAAGCUAUUAAAGGUCAAAUAUUACCCGAGGGAAAAUUUGUUGGCUACAGUAUUUGGCGGCAGUAUUUCAC